CCUACGGGCGGCAGCAGUAGGGAAUCUUCCACAAUGGGCGAAAGCCUGAUGGAGCCACGCCGCGUGGGUGAAGAAGGUCUUCGGAUCGUAAAACCCUUUUGUUAGAGAAGAAAGUGCGUGAGAGAAACUGUUCACGUUUCGACGGUAUCUGACCAGGAAGCCACGGCUAACUACGUGCCAGCAGCCGCGGUAAUACGGAGGUUGCAAGCGUUAUCCGGAUUUAUUGGGCGUAAAGGGAACGCAGGCGGUCUUUUAAGUCUGAUGUGAAAACCUUGGGCUUAACCGGAGUAGUGCAUUGGAAACUGGGAGACUUGAGUGCCGAAGAGGAGAGUAGAACUCCAUGUGUAGCGGUGAAAUGCGUAGAUAUAUGGAAGAACACCAGUGGCGAAGGCGGCUCCCUGGUCUGUAACUGACGCUGAGGUUCGAAAGCGUGGGGAGCAAACAGGAUUAGAUACCCUAGUAGUC
Molecule: ribosomal RNA, 465 nt
Filed under: uncultured bacterium
Lineage: Bacteria
Description: partial 16S ribosomal RNA
Rfam family: Bacterial small subunit ribosomal RNA
Source: RNAcentral